UACAGCGAUUGUUUUGCUCGUCGUUAGUGUGAUUUCCCUGGAUCUUUGUGGAGUUAAAUGCUGAUACGUUCCUCCAAAUACGCCUGAUAUCGACAUGGAGUCUGCUGAAAUGUCGCUGAAGGGUUCAUCCUGCCUUCAGAUAGCACAUCAGAAAGGAAACAGAGGGCUGGUUACUGGUUAACUUGGACGAUGGAGCUCUCCUCACGUACGCACAUCCAGCUGCUGGCUGGAGUUUGAACUGCCGUCAUGUGAGACACACCAGGUGCGAGCUGAUGACACAUAAACAUGGAGUCAUGUUGCUGUGUAGGUUCUAAUGUAUCUGAGUUCUUAUGAACCUGAACACGGGGUCCUCCUUCCUCCUUCCUCCUCCUCCUCCCUCUCAUGGUAAACAUCACAUCCAGCACGUCUCACUUGUCUCCCUCACAGGACUUUCCAACAACCAGCCACAAUACGACCGGAAGUCUCACUGCGUGCCUUCAAAAUAAAGGCUUGACUCGCCUUUCAGUCAGAUUGUUGCCUCGUGAGAUCUGUGGUUUAAUUAAUGAAGAGUAGAUGUCUAAUAAAGAGCCAAAUAAUUAUUUUUAUCACCAACUAUUACUUAAAUAAAUGAUUUAGUUUAUUAAAUAUUAUAAAAUAGUUAGAAAUGUCAGUUAUUAUUUGUAGAAUCUAAAGCUAAUGAACUCCAGAGAGGUAAAUAAAAAACAAGUACUGCAGCAGUCCAGAUAUAUGAAUAUAGAGGAGGAGAAUUCACAAAGAAAAUAUUAAUAAAUAUUUAUGAAAGUGUACAUGAAAGAGCUGUACAUUAUGUGCAGUUAUGCGGAAAAUUCUGACCAAUAAUGAAAUCUUCAAAUUGCAUGUUUGUCCCUGUGGAUGGUCCAAAACUCAAAGAUAUUCAGUUGAAUGUGACAUAUAUUUUGGUAUUUUUGCAUCAAUAAUUAAUUGAUUCUCUGCCAAUCAGUAUAUCAGUUAUUUAGUUGCAGCACUAAAUAAGCAACUUGUUAAAAAUGGACAAUGACAGUCGAGACUAUGGGCUCUGAUUUAGCAUGAAAAAUAAAACCACCAUGGUACUGUUGUUCCUGCAGGGCUGUGAUUUAUUCAUUCAUUCAUUUAUUUUUCAUCCUUUUAUUUCAUUAUAACUUUGCACCCCUAAAAAUAGAGUUUUCAUACCGUUACACAUUUAACUUCCACCAACUACUAACACCAUAAUACAUAGUUAUUUAUUUUUUUGUAUUAUUUAACCAGGAAGCGCCACUGAGAUCUAAAAACUAUUUUACAACAGAAACCUGUCCGAGGUAGCGGCCUAUUUAAAACACAUUUAAAAUGCAACAAAUACAACAUAUAAUACAAAAAUCCACAAUAAAACAACGACUAUUCAAACAUGGUGGCCUCUCAAGGAAAACAAGCACACGUCUCUGUCACCACAUUUUUCACGAUGCCCUUAAAAUCAGUGGAUAUAUGGGUUUGUAAUUUUAUGUUUUUGGAGAUUGUUCCAUGCCCAUAUAGUUUUCCCAGAUCUGUUUACAUACAGGGUUCAUUAAAAAGCAACCACCUGGAGGAGCAUAGCUGGAAACUAAAAAUAUAAACAUAUCAGUGCUGCUGUCUGCGAGUGGUCAGUGACGUCCAACCCACCAAAUCAUAAAGAUACAGUGAUGAGUCAGGGACUGUGCAUAUGUGAUACAUAAAAUGGAGGAUGCAUACAUAUAGAAUAUAGAAAAAUAGCUUCCACAAGUUUUUUCUUAGCACUGAAAAUAAAACAAGUCUUAUGUUCAUUAAAUGUUAUAUUGCAAGUCAUUUUUCAACUGCAGUUUUUGUCCCCAAAGGAAACUUUGUCAAAAUGUGUUUUAUCUUCUAAA
Long non-coding RNA from Epinephelus fuscoguttatus (brown-marbled grouper), 1853 nucleotides. RefSeq lists it as uncharacterized. NCBI's taxonomy places the organism in Eukaryota, Metazoa, Chordata, Actinopteri, Perciformes, Serranidae. The transcript is spliced from 3 exons. The record is from RefSeq and is a predicted model, not a curated record.